GAUGAAUGCUGGCGGCGUGCUAAACACAUGCAAGUCGAGCGGUAAGGCCCUUUUAGGGUACACGAGCGGCGGACGGCUGAGUAACGCGUGGGAACAUGCCCCAAAGUGAGGAAUAAGCUCCAGAAAUGGAGUCUAAUGCCGCAUAUGAUCUUCUGAUUAAAGGAUUUAUCCGCUUUAGGAGUGGCCUGCGUACGAUUAGCUUGUUGGUGAGGUAAUGGCUUACCAAGGCGACGAUCGUUAGCUGGUCUGAGAGGAUGACCAGCCAGACUGGAACUGAGACACGGUCCAGACUCCUACGGGAGGCAGCAGUGAGGAAUCUUCCACAAUGGGCGAAAGCCUGAUGGAGCAACGCCGCGUGCAGGAUGAAGGCCCUCGGGUCGUAAACUGCUUUUAUGAGUGAAGAAUAUGACGGUAACUCAUGAAUAAGCACCGGCUAACUACGUGCCAGCCGCCGCCGUA
RNAcentral lists this ribosomal RNA (459 nucleotides) under uncultured bacterium. RNAcentral's name for it is "partial 16S ribosomal RNA". It matches the Rfam family "Bacterial small subunit ribosomal RNA", at positions 28 to 522 of the family's 1533-position model. The record is from RNAcentral.